GGUUAAGCUAAUAAGAGCGCAGGGAGAAUGCCUUGGCAUCAGGAGCCGAUGAAGGACGUGGUAAGCUGCGAAAAGCUGCGGGGAUCAGCAAGCAUGAAUUGAUCCGCAGAUAUCCGAAUGGAGCAAUCCGCAUGGGUGAAGCUCAUGCAUCAUACAGUGAAUACAUAGCUGUAUGAGGGGAACCGCCUGAACUGAAACAUCUAAGUAGGGCGAGGAAAAGAAAUCAACCGAGAUUCUGUGAGUAGUGGCGAGCGAAAGCGGAAGAGGCUAAACCAAGAGUAGCAAUACUUUUGGGGUUUUGGACAGCAUUUAGCAUCAAUGAGUCUUAGCUGAAAUGUAUGGGAAGACAUACCAAAGAAUGUGAGAGUCAUGUAAGCGACAAGAUGAAUUGGCGAGCUGUAUCCGGAGUACCGCGGGACACGUGAAACCCCGUGGGAAAACAGGGGGACCACCCUCUAAGCCUAAAUACUACCUGAUGACCGAUAGCGAAUAGUACUGUGAAGGAACGGUGAAAAGAACCCCGGGAGGGGAGUGAAAUAGAACCUGAAACCCUGUGCUUACAAGCACCGAGAGCACGUCAAAGUGUGAUCGGGUACCUAUUGUAGAAUGGUCCGGCGAGUUAUUGUAUGCGGCGAGGUUAAGUACUUAAGGUACGGAGCCGAAGCGAGAGCGAGUCUGAAUAGGGCGUAUAGUCGUAUGCAAUAGACCCGAAACCGAGUGACCUACCCAUGUCCAGGCUGAAGUGGCGGUAAAACGCUAUGGAGGGCCGAACGCACGUUCGUUGAAAAGACCGGCGAUGAGGUGUGGGUAGCGGAGAAAUUCCAAUCGAACUCGGAUAUAGCUGGUUCUCUCCGAAAUAGCUUUAGGGCUAGCCUCACUUUAGAUUACCGGAUGUAAAGCACUGAAUAGGCUAGGGGUCGAGAGAUUACCGAACCUUAUCAAACUAAGAAGGCCGGAUAAUUGAUGAGUGGGAGUCAGACAGCGUGAGAUAAGUUUCGUUGUCAAAAGGGAAAGAGCCCAGAUCUACAGCUAAGGUCCCUAAAUACGUUUAAGUGGAAAAGGAUGUGGAGUUGCAUAAACAACCAGGAUGUUGGCUUAGAAGCAGCCAUACAUUAAAAGAGUGCGUAAUAGCUCACUGGUCGAGUGACUCUGCGCCGAAAAUUCAACGGGGCUAAAACGUAUACCGAAGCUUAGGACUGAUGGUAACAUUAGUGGUAGGAGAGCGUUCAAUGCGGGGUGAAGUCAGAGCGGAAGCGCUGGUGGACUGCAUUGAAGUGAGAAUGCCGGAAUGAGUAGCGAGAAUUAUGUGAGAAUCAUAAUGGCCGAAAAUCUAAGGUUUCCGGAGGAAGGUUCGUCCGCUCCGGGUAAGCCGGGAGCUAAGGUGAGGCUUAAAUGCGUAGCCGAUGCACAUACGGUUGAGAUUCCGUAGCCGCCGAAACUUAAGCGCAGGGACGCUCAUGAAGUGAAUAAGCCGGGGGAUGGUUCACCCGGUCGUAAGGGACCGAAAGUUAGUAGGGAAGUAUUUAUGGAGUGAGACAAGAAAAGCUGCGCGGUAUGCUAAGGCGCCCGUACCGCAAACCGACACAGGUGGAUAGGAAGAGGAUUCUAAGGCCAACGGGAGAAGGGUUGUUAAGGAACUCGGCAAGUUGACCCCGUAACUUCGGAAUAAGGGGUGCCUGAGAAAUCAGGUCGCAGAGAAUAGGCCCAGGCAACUGUUUAUCAAAAACACAGGUCUCUGCUAAAUCGAAAGAUGACGUAUAGGGGCUGACGCCUGCCCGGUGCCGGAAGGUUAAGAGGAGAUGUGAGAGCAUUGAAUUGAAGCCCCGGUAAACGGCGGCCGUAACUAUAACGGUCCUAAGGUAGCGAAAUUCCUUGUCAGGUAAGUUCUGACCCGCACGAAUGGCGUAAUGAUCUGGGCACUGUCUCAACAACCCGCCCGGCGAAAUUGUAGUACCGGUGAAGAUGCCGGUUACCCGCGACUAGACGGAAAGACCCCAUGGAGCUUUACUGUAGCCUAAUAUUGGAUUUCGGUAUU
This is a ribosomal RNA of Ruminococcus sp. YE71, 2035 nucleotides long. It matches the Rfam family "Bacterial large subunit ribosomal RNA", at positions 1 to 2131 of the family's 2925-position model. The record is from Rfam. Lineage: Bacteria; Bacillati; Bacillota; Clostridia; Eubacteriales; Oscillospiraceae.